AGCGGCGGACGGGUGAGUAAUGCUUAGGAAUCUGCCUAUUAGUGGGGGACAACAUUCCGAAAGGAAUGCUAAUACCGCAUACGCCCUACGGGGGAAAGCAGGGGAUCUUCGGACCUUGCGCUAAUAGAUGAGCCUAAGUCAGAUUAGCUAGUUGGUGGGGUAAAGGCCUACCAAGGCGACGAUCUGUAGCGGGUCUGAGAGGAUGAUCCGCCACACUGGGACUGAGACACGGCCCAGACUCCUACGGGAGGCAGCAGUGGGGAAUAUUGGACAAUGGGCGAAAGCCUGAUCCAGCCAUGCCGCGUGUGUGAAGAAGGCCUUUUGGUUGUAAAGCACUUUAAGCGAGGAGGAGGCUACUUGGAUUAAUACUCUAGGAUAGUGGACGUUACUCGCAGAAUAAGCACCGGCUAACUCUGUGCCAGCAGCCGCGGUAAUACAGAGGGUGCGAGCGUUAAUCGGAUUUACUGGGCGUAAAGCGUGCGUAGGCGGCUUUUUAAGUCGGAUGUGAAAUCCCUGAGCUUAACUUAGGAAUUGCAUUCGAUACUGGGAAGCUAGAGUAUGGGAGAGGAUGGUAGAAUUCCAGGUGUAGCGGUGAAAUGCGUAGAGAUCUGGAGGAAUACCGAUGGCGAAGGCAGCCAUCUGGCCUAAUACUGACGCUGAGGUGCGAAAGCAUGGGGAGCAAACAGGAUUAGAUACCCUGGUAGUCCACGCCGUAAACGAUG
This 722-nucleotide ribosomal RNA is filed under the name uncultured Acinetobacter sp. Its description in RNAcentral is "bacterial SSU rRNA". It matches the Rfam family "Bacterial small subunit ribosomal RNA", at positions 94 to 811 of the family's 1533-position model. Lineage: Bacteria; Pseudomonadati; Pseudomonadota; Gammaproteobacteria; Moraxellales; Moraxellaceae. The record is from RNAcentral.